AAAAAGAAAAUAAUAAUAAUAAUAAGAAGAAGAAGAUGACGAGUGUACGAUAAUUUCCCUCAAAAUACGAUAAUUUUAUGUUUCUAGUACGAUAAUCCUACAUUUCUCACCUGGUAACACUGAGCCCAACACACAACGGUCAAAAUGCAAACGCAAGGGAACAUGCAGGUGGCAGCUCCAUACACAAACAUCGACCUUAACGUUUUUCUGUGCAAAGAGUAUUGGAGUUACUUGGGAUGACAACUCAGGUUUGGACUUGUCUGACCUUGAUAAUCCAAUCCUAGGUGAGAACUACCAACCAUCACCACAGGAACAAAGCAGCAGUGAAGAUGAGGACCUCAUUCCUGAACCCACUGACCACAGCAGAGGAUGAAAACAUCACCGUUGUGUAGAUAAUGGUUCAUGCUCAGGGAAAGAGACAGGUACAGGCUUCUCCUGCAUUCCUAGGCGUCGCUGCCAAACUCAAGAGGUUGAGGCUGAUAGCUCAGAAGAUGACUUGGAAGAGUCAACACCAGGACCAAGUCAAACCAAAAAAAGAGAAGAGUCUAAACAAGGGCGUGGAAUGCGCUGGAAGGCUACUCCAUUGAUGCCAAACCUUACGAAGUAUCAGCAUCAGGAUGAAACUGUUCGAGACAGACAUGGCUGGACCCCAUUAGAUUAUUUUGAGCUGUACAUAGAGAUUUGAUGGCACUGAUGUCAGAAUGCUUUAAUGUUAUGUCACUGUCUAAGAGUGGGGACCCACUCAACAUGACCAUAGAUGAGGUACACCACUUUUUUGGUGCCUGCAUUUUGAUGUCCUGCAUCCGCUACCCAACAUAAACGGCAUACUGUAUAUGUUCCUGUUUUACAUUACCAAUGCAAAAUAUCACAAAAGCCCUACUAUGAAGAUUUUGUUGAGUUUUUUUCACUAUGAUGUUCAAACACAUUUGUCUCCUGAUGCAACAGUGGCAAUUUAAAAUGGUUUGAAUGUUUUGUAUUUUGUUACAGGCAUACAAUGCCGUCCUGAAACUGUUUGCUGGUUGCUUGUUUCAAAAAUAUGUAUGUAUGUGUUGUUAAUACAUGUAAAACAGUCAGGAAAAAAGUGCUGUGUUCAAGGUUGAAAUAAAGAGUUUUUCAUUCUAUUACA
Long non-coding RNA from Girardinichthys multiradiatus, 1126 nucleotides. RefSeq lists it as uncharacterized. The record is from RefSeq and is a predicted model, not a curated record. The transcript has 4 exons. Lineage: Eukaryota; Metazoa; Chordata; Actinopteri; Cyprinodontiformes; Goodeidae.